Non-coding RNA from Zootoca vivipara (common lizard), 798 nucleotides. The record is from RefSeq and is a predicted model, not a curated record. Lineage: Eukaryota; Metazoa; Chordata; Lepidosauria; Squamata; Lacertidae.
CUUCCUUGCCCCCCGCCCCAUAGUUCCUUCGCUUCGGCGCCUCCAGCAGAAGAUGGCAGUGGGGGGCACGCCUGCCAGUCGCAGCCCGGCCGGAGCAAAGAGAUAAAGAGGAGGAGGAAAGGGAGCAGCUGCGGAACAGCAGCAUCUUGCACACAGGUUGAAAUCACAGAGUUGCAUCAACUUGGAUGAACUUAUAGAAAUCCAAACUACAGUUGGUGUGAUUUGAUCUCUUUGUGUCAAAUGUUCAUCUCUCCAUCAACAACAAUGAGUUCAACAACACAACCAGAACUGUUAGAGGAAUGUGGGAGCAUCUCCUAGGAUAGCUUAGUGGCUUCUUUGCAGCUCAGGAACAUCCCUGUAAGUAGACGGUAUUUUGUACUUCUUCUCUCUAAGUUCUUUUUAAGUGGAUGAGCUAGAUUAGCUGUUUUAAACUUUUAGUUACAGAAAUAUUUCCCUCAUGUACAGUAGUGUCCUGUAUAAUAGUAGAUUGUUUCACUAGAGGAGCAAAUUGUAACAGUAGCCACAUGCAUUGCCUUUCACCUUACCAUUGUUAAGUGGCUGGGAUGCCUCCCUGUCAGUUUAAUUUGAGAAACUUCAGGGACUAAACUGGGCAAUUAGUCAAGUGAGCUUCCAUGUACCAUGUGGGCUCAGACCUUGGAGCCUUCUUUGAAGAUGUGCAGGGAAUAGAAGUGUGCAGCACUAGCAAACAAUAUAAAGUCUGUUGUCAGGGAGCCGAUAGGCAGAGCAGUUCACACACACACAGGGCCGGCCCUAUGGCCAGGCUGGGUGGCGCAGGGC